Non-coding RNA from Oryctolagus cuniculus (rabbit), 2893 nucleotides. The record is from RefSeq and is a predicted model, not a curated record. NCBI's taxonomy places the organism in Eukaryota, Metazoa, Chordata, Mammalia, Lagomorpha, Leporidae.
UCGACGUAACGACUGUACGACUGUACCGUCGCGCGAGGACGGGCUGCGCCCCGUGAUUGGCUCCGCCGCCGCAGCUGCGCAGGAGCCCACCCCCCUCAGAGGUACCCGCUCCCACCUCUGCCUGACUCGCGCUCCCUGUUAGCAAGUUUCCCCUGAGGCGGGCCUGGAAGGUGCGCGGCUGAAAUCCGUUCCCAUCGGCCUCAGAUGUAGCCUCAGGGUCUCUUAGAGCCCCUGGCUUCCUCUCAUUCGCGACAACCUGAGCCAGAAGCCAUCACUACCACCCCACCACCACCUAUUUUUUUUUUUUUUAACCUACCAUCCCGUCUUCAUUCCCUUCGCUCAUCUCUUCUGACGUCUGUCGUGAUGAAACUGCAGUUAGCCGCUGUCUCACCUCUGGACACCUUUGCCGAGGCUCUGUGAUAUUAAUGAAGCAAGUCAGGACUAGAUGAACUGUGACCUCUGUGGCCUCCUCAACAUAUUUUUGAGCAUUUUACUGAUCACCACUGUGCAUACCAAGAUCUGAGGAAAUGGAGCUACCACAACUCCUGGACGUGGCUGUGCAGCCCCUGAGUGUGAUUCUGACAACAGUGUGACAAAAUCCUGUGGCCCGUUGCUCCCACCCAUAUGAGAGAGACAUGGUAAUGUAUGAUGUAUGCACACAGUGGCUAGCAAUGGGUCAUUUGUUCUUUUGCUCAAUGACCUUUCAUUCCUGUCCUUAGCUUACCAUGGUCAAUUUGACUGUCAUUGUUCUGUGGGGUGGGGGGGUGGUAAUUUGGUGUACUUUUGUUUUAUUGUAUCAUAGUUUGCAUUUUGCCUGUCAGCAAAAUUAUAGAGAUUUUAAGUAGAGGUUUGGUUACAAAUUUGCAAGGUUUCUUUUAGAAAGGAUACCAUCAGGACAUUUUUUGAAAAUUUCUCAACAAUCAUUACUUUUUCUUUGAAACAGUAUAACUUGUCCUUUGAAUGGAUUACUUUAUCAUUAGAAGAUAAAACAAUGAUGAGAUGAAAAAAACAGGGGCCCAUGUGCCAGUUCAACUACUGACUCUGGAUGUUAAAAAUUAAAAAUGUGAGCAAAACGUUGACUCUGGUCAAUAAGUAGAACUUCAUUUGAAGUUUUUUUCUAAAAAAUAAAAAGUCAGUUUAAACUUUAAUGAUGAAGAUUACUUAAAAUAUGGGCUUUAUCUAACAUACAAAUCUUUUGAAAUGACAGAAUCCAGUGGAUGUUUUAAUUAUAUUUUUUUUCAAUAAAUCCCUCAAGAGUUUUUGAAUAAGGAGGAAAAGACAUCAACUAUUGACAAAAUUUCUAAUUUGAGAUGUGUUCAAUGUAUUGGUUAAGAAUGAAACUUUGAAGUUAUUUUCAUAGGGUUUGAACUCUAGGACUUCCUCCUACAGCCCGUGAGACCUUGGACAAAAUUACUCUCUGUACCUCAUUUCCUUAUUUAUAAAAUAAAAAUAAUAAUGGUAAUUAGCUCAGAGUGUUGCUGUAAUGAGAGCGUAUCUGAAGCCUCUAGAAAAGAGCUCAUCCACAAGGAAUGCUACAUAUAGCAUUAUGUAUAGGUGUUUGUUUUUUAUAUUGUUAGUCAUUCUACAACAUGUAAUAAGGAAGCCUUAUUCUCAUACACAGUUACAUAUUGGAUAGCAAAAGAGAAAAUGGAACAUGCAGCUCCUAAAAAAUAUUAUUCUUUCUGUAUGUAUAGAUAUAUAUAGUGUGCAUAAUUUUUUAAAGAUUUGUUUAUUUAUCUGAAAGAGUCACAGAGAGGCAGAGGGAGAAAGAGAGAGACAGAGACAGAGAGAUGGAGGGAGGGAGGGAGAGAGAUUCACUCCCCAAAUGUCUGCAACGGCGGAGCUGGGAUGAUCUGAAGCCUGGAGCCAGGAGCUUCUUCCAGGUCUCUCACUUGGGUGCAAGAGCCCAAGGAUUUAGACCAUCUUCUACUGCUUUCCCAAGCCAUAGCAGAGAGCUGGAUUGGAAGAGGAGCAGCUGGGAAUAGAACCAGCGCCCAUAUGGGAUGCCAGCACUGCAGGUGGCGGCUUUACCUGCUACACCACGGUGCUGACCCCAGUGUGCAUAAUUUUUAAGUAAAAAUUAGAAGAUAAAAUUAAAAUUCUUCCUCUUAGUGAAAACACGGUAUCAUUGUACAGAACAAGCAGGCUGCUAUAGAUUUUGAAAUCCAACGUGAGGCUACUGACUCUACAAGAGAAUCAGUACUUUCAGUUAUAUCAGAUAUAUGUGGUAAGAUAAUUCAUGGUGAAUUUAAUAAGUUUAAUAUCACAUAACUGAUUUAAAAACAGUUACAAAAAGAUAAGAGUACAUUAUUGAUCAAUAUGAAUUAAUCAACAGCACUGUAAGGGAUGAAAAAGUCUAGUACAAUAAAUACAACUGGAAAACUUGGUGGAGUUGGAUGCUAUUUAUAGUGGUGCUUUAUGGAAUCCAUUUUAUGUGUCUUGGGUGUGAGCAUCUAAACAUGUUCUCCCAAGUAUCACAGACAAAAGGAAUAUUAAAGGUACCUCAUGGGACAGGUGAUACUUUAUUUAGAGAUUAGAGAUAAUCAUAUCCACAUACUGUAUCAUUCCAAAAUUUACUGGUUGUUAUGAGGCAGGGUGCUAAGCAGCGCAUAUGAACUCUGUAAUAAGAUUCAUAUUUUUCUAGAUAAAAAGCAAAUCUUUUGGCAAUUGUGUCAAAGGUGAUGUUGGUUAACAAGAUUGGUAUAUCUAACUGAUUUUUUCAGCAUUCUUAACAAGCUAAAUUUGAAACCAUAGAGAAAAGCCAACAAAAUACUCAACAUAGGGAUUUCAGAAGACUUGAUUUGCUUCUUAAGUAAGAUUUAAGUAAUCUCUCUAUCUACUAAAUGUUCCCAAUGGUGUUAUAGUGUAUUAGAGAAAACAUUACUAAUAAAUA